Non-coding RNA from Pseudonaja textilis, 566 nucleotides. NCBI's taxonomy places the organism in Eukaryota, Metazoa, Chordata, Lepidosauria, Squamata, Elapidae. The record is from RefSeq and is a predicted model, not a curated record.
GUGUGGUCUUCCUUCUUUGUGUAUCUUGGGGAGGCCAUAGAGUUUAGGGCAUCUGGAUGAUUUUUUUCUGGAGAUGAUUCUUUGCUUGAUCUCUUCACUGAUGGGGGAGGCUUUUAUUUUGGAUUUGAUGGUUUUUCCAGGUAGGUGGUGGGGUCGGUAUUUAAAGGUUUGUAAGCAGGGUCUUGGAGUAGGUUGGAUAGUUUGGGUUGGUAGUCCAAUGUGUUCAUCACGACCGUGGCAUUGCCUUUGUCUGCUGGGAGAAUGAUGAUGUUGUUGUCUUUCCUCAAGUUGGUGAGUGCUUUUUUGUUUUUCUCUGUGUAAGUUGCUUCUGGGUGGACUGCUGAAGCAGAGGACCUUGGUGACUUCAAGUCUGAUUUUAUUAGCUACAUCUGGGUUAAUUUUGGUUAGGCUAGCUUCAACUCCGCAUAUAAUGUUUUCGGUGGGGAUGCGUUUGGGGGCAACUGCAAAGUUGAAUCCCUUGGAAAGGACAUUGGUUUCUGCUCUGGUGGGGGUUCUGUCUGAUAUGUUGUAUACUGUUUAUUUCAUGCGUUGAUACCACUGGUUUC